Molecule: ribosomal RNA, 253 nt
Filed under: uncultured bacterium
Lineage: Bacteria
Description: partial 16S ribosomal RNA
Rfam family: Bacterial small subunit ribosomal RNA
Source: RNAcentral
UACGUAGGGUGCGAGCGUUGUCCGGAAUUACUGGGCGUAAAGCGUGCGUAGACGGUUAUUUAAGUCGGGUGUGAAAGCCCCGGGCUCAACCUGGGAAUUGCAUUCGAGACUGAAUAGCUAGGGUACGGUAGAGGGAAGUGGAAUUUCCGGUGUAGCGGUGAAAUGCGUAGAUAUCGGAAGGAACAUCAGUGGCGAAAGCGACUUCCUGGACCAGUACCGACGUUCAGGCACGAAAGCGUGGGGAGCAAACAGG